Long non-coding RNA from Sphaeramia orbicularis (orbiculate cardinalfish), 584 nucleotides. RefSeq lists it as uncharacterized. The transcript has 6 exons. Lineage: Eukaryota; Metazoa; Chordata; Actinopteri; Kurtiformes; Apogonidae. The record is from RefSeq and is a predicted model, not a curated record.
AUACUAUUGUUGGUGUUUACGGUGUGAUUUGUUGUCAAACGCGUUCCCGGUACACAACCUCGCGCGCACAACAAGGGGGGGGGGUUUAGCUUUUCGCGUAAUUGCGAAUCGGUGCCAUCCGCGUGCGCACGUAAACUCACUGCUGUAACGCGUUUUCCAGUCCGGGCAACAUGGAAAGGAAGUGAAGUCCGCCGCUUUGGGAAGAACCUAAAGCCACAAGUGAAAGUCGGUUACAUCAGCAGAACGACCGUGAGCUGAAUUCUGAUUGGAGGAAUGGAGUGGCAGUCUGUCCUGCACCAGUGAUCAGGUCAGGAGAUUCCAGUGGUGACAUCCUGCAGAGCCUGAGAUCAGAGGCGUGGAGGCUGUUUUACCACCGCUGGAACUGAAGAUUGCUUUAAAUAAGCAAGUCCUUGUAGAAGGCUUUUAAGUCAUGAUGCAAGAAUCUGGGACGGAGGCGACGAGCAAUGGACCAGCCAAUCAGAAUGGAGGUGCGAGCAUGGAAGGCGGGUCCAGAGAGGGGCGACCCAAGAGCGCCACGCCGUCAGUAGAGGUGACCGCCGCCGACCUCCUGCAUCUCCAACAGC